Molecule: small nuclear RNA, 163 nt
Filed under: Peromyscus maniculatus bairdii (prairie deer mouse)
Lineage: Eukaryota; Metazoa; Chordata; Mammalia; Rodentia; Cricetidae
Description: U1 spliceosomal RNA (ENSPEMG00000030032.1)
Rfam family: U1 spliceosomal RNA
About the family: U1 is a small nuclear RNA (snRNA) component of the spliceosome (involved in pre-mRNA splicing). Its 5' end forms complementary base pairs with the 5' splice junction, thus defining the 5' donor site of an intron.
Source: Rfam by way of RNAcentral
AUACUUACCUGGCAGGGGAGAUACCAUGAUCAAGCAGGUGGUUUUCCCAAGGCGAGGCUCACCCAUUGCACUUGGGGUGUGUUGACCCCUGCGAUUUCCCCAAAUUCGGGAAACUUGACUGCAUAAUUUUGGUAGUGGGGGACUGCGUUUAUGCUCUCCCCUG